AGUGAACGCUGGCGGUAGGCCUAACACAUGCAAGUCGAACGGCAGCACAGUAAGAGCUUGCUCUUACGGGUGGCGAGUGGCGGACGGGUGAGGAAUACAUCGGAAUCUACUUUUUCGUGGGGGAUAACGUAGGGAAACUUACGCUAAUACCGCAUACGACCUACGGGUGAAAGCAGGGGAUCUUCGGACCUCGCGCGAUUGAAUGAGCCGAUGUCGGAUUAGCUAGUUGGCGGGGUAAAGGCCCACCAAGGCGACGAUCCGUAGCUGGUCUGAGAGGAUGAUCAGCCACACUGGAACUGAGACACGGUCCAGACUCCUACGGGAGGCAGCAGUGGGGAAUAUUGGACAAUGGGCGCAAGCCUGAUCCAGCCAUACCGCGUGGGUGAAGAAGGCCUUCGGGUUGUAAAGCCCUUUUGUUGGGAAAGAAAAGCAGCAGGUUAAUACCCCGCUGUUCUGACGGUACCCAAAGAAUAAGCACCGGCUAACCUCGUG
This 492-nucleotide ribosomal RNA is filed under the name uncultured bacterium. Its description in RNAcentral is "partial 16S ribosomal RNA". It matches the Rfam family "Bacterial small subunit ribosomal RNA", at positions 29 to 507 of the family's 1533-position model. The record is from RNAcentral.